UACGGAGGGUGCGAGCGUUGUCCGGAAUCACUGGGCGUAAAGGGUGCGUAGGCGGCCGAAUAAGUCACGUGUGAAAGGCCGGGGCUCAACCCCGGAUCGGCAUGUGAGACUGUCCGGCUCGAGCACGGUAGAGGCGAGUGGAAUUCCUGGUGUAGCGGUGGAAUGCGUAGAGAUCAGGAAGAACACCGGUGGCGAAGGCGGCUCGCUGGGCCGUUGCUGACGCUGAGGCACGAAAGCGUGGGGAGCAAACAGG
This 253-nucleotide ribosomal RNA is filed under the name uncultured bacterium. Its description in RNAcentral is "partial 16S ribosomal RNA". It matches the Rfam family "Bacterial small subunit ribosomal RNA", at positions 524 to 776 of the family's 1533-position model. The record is from RNAcentral.